GCUGGGAACGGCCUCGCAUGAUGACCCUUCUCUCUCUGAUGGCUGUGGUGGUGAUGAUCAUCAAACCAAAGCCUCUAAGAAGUUGACUGAAGAGACUGUUCCUCU
RNAcentral lists this small nucleolar RNA (105 nucleotides) under Nipponia nippon (crested ibis). RNAcentral's name for it is "Small nucleolar RNA SNORD125". It matches the Rfam family "Small nucleolar RNA SNORD125". Lineage: Eukaryota; Metazoa; Chordata; Aves; Pelecaniformes; Threskiornithidae. The record is from Rfam by way of RNAcentral.